Long non-coding RNA from Magnolia sinica, 263 nucleotides. RefSeq lists it as uncharacterized. The transcript has 3 exons. NCBI's taxonomy places the organism in Eukaryota, Viridiplantae, Streptophyta, Magnoliopsida, Magnoliales, Magnoliaceae. The record is from RefSeq and is a predicted model, not a curated record.
CUUUGCUUCCUUUGUCACAACGACAGGAUUUCGUACUGGAUGAUCCCUUCAUUUUGUCUUGUUGUCCUGGCUUUUCCUUGAAUUUUUGCGGAAUGCAUGUGAAAAAGGUCCUCUACACUUUCACUUACACAUGUGUCACCGCUGGUGCAGCUGGCAUUCUCUUUGCUGGAACUUAUGUGCUGAAAUAGCAGAUGAUGAGAGUAUUAGCGUGUUAGAAGUACCUAGCUGGUGCAUGAAGGCAAUAUGACGUUAGAAGAUUCCUU